UGGGGGAUAUUGCACAAUGGGCGAAAGCCUGAUGCAGCGACGCCGCGUGGGGGAUGAAGGCUUUCGGGUUGUAAACCUCUUUCGCUAUCGAACAAGGCCUGCUUAGGGUGGGUUGAGGGUAGGCGGAGAAGAAGCGCCGGCCAACUACGUGCCAGCAGCCGCGGUAAUACGUAGGUCGCGAGCGUCGUCCGGAAUUAUUGGGCGUGAAGGGCUUGUAGGCGGCUUGUUGCGCCUGCUGUGAAAACGCGGGGCUUAACUUCGCGCGAGAAGUGGGUACGGGCAGGCUUGAGUGUGGUAGGGGUGGCUGGAAUUCCAGGUGUAGCGGUGGAAUGCGCAGAUAUCUGGAGGAAAACCGAUGGCGAAGGCAGGUCACUGGGCCAUUACUGACGCUGUGGAGCGAAAGCAUGGGUAGCGAACAGG
This 420-nucleotide ribosomal RNA is filed under the name bacterium. RNAcentral's name for it is "partial 16S ribosomal RNA". It matches the Rfam family "Bacterial small subunit ribosomal RNA", at positions 355 to 776 of the family's 1533-position model. The record is from RNAcentral.